RNAcentral lists this ribosomal RNA (333 nucleotides) under uncultured Levilinea sp. Its description in RNAcentral is "bacterial SSU rRNA". It matches the Rfam family "Bacterial small subunit ribosomal RNA", at positions 1037 to 1382 of the family's 1533-position model. Lineage: Bacteria; Bacillati; Chloroflexota; Anaerolineae; Anaerolineales; Anaerolineaceae. The record is from RNAcentral.
GGUGCUGCAUGGCUGUCGUCAGCUCGUGUCGUGAGAUGUUCGGUUAAGUCCGCUAACGAGCGCAACCCUCGCUGUGUGUUACAAGUGUCACACGGAACUGCCGGUCAUAAACCGGAGGAAGGUGGGGAUGACGUCAAGUCAGCAUGGCCUUUAUAUCCUGGGCUACACACACGCUACAAUGGGAAGGGACAAUAGGUUGCGAAACCGCGAGGUGGAGCCAAUCCAGCAAAACUUCCCUCAGUUCAGAUUGCAGGCUGCAACUCGCCUGCAUGAAGUUGGAGUUGCUAGUAAACGCAGGUCAGCCAUACUGCGUUGAAUACGUUCCCGGGGCUU